RNAcentral lists this ribosomal RNA (468 nucleotides) under uncultured bacterium. RNAcentral describes it as "partial 16S ribosomal RNA". It matches the Rfam family "Bacterial small subunit ribosomal RNA", at positions 28 to 507 of the family's 1533-position model. The record is from RNAcentral.
GACGAACGCUGGCGGCGUGCUUAACACAUGCAAGUCGAACGGAAAGGCCCUGCUUUUGUGGGGUGCUCGAGUGGCGAACGGGUGAGUAACACGUGAGUAACCUGCCCUUGACUUUGGGAUAACUUCAGGAAACUGGGGCUAAUACCGGAUAGGAUCUCCUGCUGCAUGGUGGGGGUUGGAAAGUUUCGGCGGUUGGGGAUGGACUCGCGGCUUAUCAGCUUGUUUGUGGGGUAGUGGCUUACCAAGGCUUUGACGGGUAGCCGGCCUGUGAGGGUGACCGGCCACAUUGGGACUGAGAUACGGCCCAGACUGCUACGGGAGGCAGCAGUGGGGAAUAUUGCACAAUGGGCGGAAGCCUGAUGCAGCAACGCCGCGUGCGGGAUGACGGCCUUCGGGUUGUAAACCGCUUUCGCCUGUGACGAAGCGUGAGUGACGGUAAUGGGUAAAGAAGCACCGGCUAACUACGUG